RNAcentral lists this long non-coding RNA (395 nucleotides) under Androctonus crassicauda. Lineage: Eukaryota; Metazoa; Arthropoda; Arachnida; Scorpiones; Buthidae. The record is from RNAcentral.
AAAGAAUUAAAAUUUAAGUCCGUGUUCCAGAUGUCGGGUUACAAAGUUCUGUUGGGAAAGCAGGCUAACCUGAUCUUGUCCUUGGAUGGGAAGGUGGUGAUGGAGACACUCAGGGAGAAAAAUGCAGGAACAGGAAAUAAGUGAUGUAGACAGCACAGGUGAUGAAUCGUGGCAACCAGUUGACAGUCCUCCCGACGGAAACGACUGAGACGGAGCGAUGGAGUCGAAAGAUGAACAUGCGAAAGUCGGAAAGAUCGGAGAAGUUUCUUUUGAAUUCUUCUCUUUGUAUGACUUCUUCGGUAUAUCGUUUAAACCUGAGUUCUGCCAAGAUACUUCCCACGAUUGUUUUUAUAAGGUCUCCAAUAUCAAGACCUUUUGCCUCAGCUGGUGAAGGG